UACAGAGGUCUCAAGCGUUGUUCGGAUUCAUUGGGCGUAAAGGGUGCGCAGGUGGCGCUGUAAGUCAGGUGUGAAAUUUCGGAGCUUAACUCCGAAACUGCAUUUGAUACUGCGGUGCUCGAGGACUGGAGAGGAGACUGGAAUUUACGGUGUAGCAGUGAAAUGCGUAGAGAUCGUAAGGAAGACCAGUGGCGAAGGCGGGUCUCUGGACAGUUCCUGACGCUGAGGCACGAAGGCCAGGGGAGCAAACGGG
RNAcentral lists this ribosomal RNA (253 nucleotides) under uncultured bacterium. RNAcentral's name for it is "partial 16S ribosomal RNA". It matches the Rfam family "Bacterial small subunit ribosomal RNA", at positions 524 to 776 of the family's 1533-position model. The record is from RNAcentral.